Molecule: non-coding RNA, 75 nt
Organism: Ataeniobius toweri
Lineage: Eukaryota; Metazoa; Chordata; Actinopteri; Cyprinodontiformes; Goodeidae
Source: the annotation of a GenBank genome assembly
GGCUGCAUGGUGGUGCAGUCAGUAGCACUAUUGCCUUGCAGUGAAGGGUCCUGGGUUCGACUCCCGGUCAGGUCU